RNAcentral lists this ribosomal RNA (155 nucleotides) under Entoloma nidorosum. RNAcentral's name for it is "5.8S ribosomal RNA". It matches the Rfam family "5.8S ribosomal RNA". From Rfam's summary of the family: 5.8S ribosomal RNA (5.8S rRNA) is a component of the large subunit of the eukaryotic ribosome. The record is from RNAcentral. Lineage: Eukaryota; Fungi; Basidiomycota; Agaricomycetes; Agaricales; Entolomataceae.
CAACUUUCAACAACGGAUCUCUUGGCUCUCGCAUCGAUGAAGAACGCAGCGAAAUGCGAUAAGUAAUGUGAAUUGCAGAAUUCAGUGAAUCAUCGAAUCUUUGAACGCACCUUGCGCUCCUUGGUAUUCCGAGGAGCAUGCCUGUUUGAGUGUCA